UAAACAGUGCGUGAAACCGCUUGGAGGUAAACGGGUGUAGUCAAGCUGCAAGCCCCGAGGAUUCAACCGAUGAGUAUGGCGCGAGCCUGGGCACAUUGAGUGGUUGGAGAGGACCGUCAGAGGCGGACAAGACUUGCUCUCGUGGUAGGUCUUGGGCGAGGGCGUAAUUGUGACGUCGCGCGCUUCUCUUUCCAUGCUCAGCUUGUCGGUGCAUUUCUUCGGGGCGUCAGCCACGACCGUCGUUGCUGUCGGUCUGCUCUAGCUAAACCUGCUGAGCUGGGUCUUGUGCUCAUGUUCAGUAGGCUGGCAGGUAACCUGAUAAGUCUUCUGAUUUCUUGGGUGUAAUACGGCUGGCUAGAGUGGUACUUAUAACUGUGCAGUGCGGCGGAGAUUGCGGCCCGGUGUGGCGUGGCGUGCUAAAGUAUGUUGGCGCAGUUUAAGUUUGGCCGCUUGUUGCCGAUUCAGUUCGGCCUUGUGGUGGCUUGUCUGCGGUUUGAUGUACGGUGGCGUCCGCUCAUCCCAUGCGUGGUGCCUACAGUCUGUGGCGUCGUAGUGGUAGACGAUCCACCCGACCCGUCUUGAAACACGGACCAAGGAGUUUAACUCAUGCGCGAGUCAAUGGGCUAUAUUUUCUUACGAAACCCAAAGGCGCAAUGAAAGUAAAGGUUUUAGUGGUUCUCGGACUGCUUGACUGAGGUGAGAUCCUGCUGUUUCUCGAGCUAGCCACGACUAGGCACUAGAGCAGUGGGCGCAUCACCGGCCCGUCCCAUGGUGUAGCAUGCUCUCGGGUGUGCAGCAUCGGGGC
Molecule: ribosomal RNA, 805 nt
Filed under: Narcinecotyle longifilamentus
Lineage: Eukaryota; Metazoa; Platyhelminthes; Monogenea; Diclybothriidea; Hexabothriidae
Description: partial large subunit ribosomal RNA
Rfam family: Eukaryotic large subunit ribosomal RNA
Source: RNAcentral